This 496-nucleotide ribosomal RNA is filed under the name uncultured bacterium. Its description in RNAcentral is "partial 16S ribosomal RNA". It matches the Rfam family "Bacterial small subunit ribosomal RNA", at positions 28 to 506 of the family's 1533-position model. The record is from RNAcentral.
GAUGAACGCUGGCGGCGUGCCUAAUACAUGCAAGUCGAGCGAACAGACGAGGAGCUUGCUCCUCUGACGUUAGCGGCGGACGGGUGAGUAACACGUGGAUAACCUACCUAUAAGACUGGGAUAACUUCGGGAAACCGGAGCUAAUACCGGAUAAUAUAUUGAACCGCAUGGUUCAAUAGUGAAAGACGGCUUUGCUGUCACUUAUAGAUGGAUCCGCGCCGCAUUAGCUAGUUGGUAAGGUAACGGCUUACCAAGGCAACGAUGCGUAGCCGACCUGAGAGGGUGAUCGGCCACACUGGAACUGAGACACGGUCCAGACUCCUACGGGAGGCAGCAGUAGGGAAUCUUCCGCAAUGGGCGAAAGCCUGACGGAGCAACGCCGCGUGAGUGAUGAAGGUCUUCGGAUCGUAAAACUCUGUUAUUAGGGAAGAACAAAUGUGUAAGUAACUAUGCACGUCUUGACGGUACCUAAGCAGAAAGCCACGGCUAACUACGU